This is a long non-coding RNA of Nicotiana attenuata, 1529 nucleotides long. RefSeq lists it as uncharacterized. The transcript has 2 exons. The record is from RefSeq and is a predicted model, not a curated record. Lineage: Eukaryota; Viridiplantae; Streptophyta; Magnoliopsida; Solanales; Solanaceae.
CCAUCAAGGUAAAAGGAGGGGAGAGGUAACCAAUCCUUCUCCGCGAAUCCAAGAUAGGUGAAGUACCGCUCGGCCCGAAAAAGCCAGCGCAAUGCGUUGCCGUUUCCAUUAAAUCGAUCUAAUACCUCCAUUGGAGUCCGAUGGAUGAAAGCACCAAUGUAAUAAACUCAAAUCCACAGUAACAAUAACUGAAACCUCUCUACUCUAUUAUUAAGGCUGAAAUGUGAUUACAACUCAAAUAUCAAGAUGCAACAACUUAGUAGCAGAAUUACAAUAGAAAUUGCAGGAAGUAAAGUAACUAGAGAUAGAUAGAAGAAGGGGAUGAGAAGGUUAGUCUUAGAGAAUAGGAGAGGAGGAGAAGAAGAUACUUUUCUCAACAAUAGGCAUAUCCCGUAUCUCCUUCGGAUCCCAAAUAUAAUGUCCAAGCAUUCUAUUGGGUUGUUUAAUCAUUGGCCUUUAGCUCCAUGCCCGAUAGUCCCAACUGGAUCAGCCUCGUUCCCAUAAUUCCUUACUAAGUUGGGCUGGUUCACAACAAUUCCCCUACUCAAACGACCCUAAAACUUCGUCUUCUUCAUCGAAGAACAGAAGCAGCAGCGGACUCCUUUUGACACCGCUAUCUCCGGCAAACAUAAACCAAAAAACGAGCAACGAGCACAUGUAGAACCCGUCCGAAUCGGCACCCAACAACAACCAUGAGAUUUGCUCGAAAUCGACCCCAAUAACCAGUAAAAGCAGUCGCAAAUGGCUCAUUUUCAGCCCGUUCGUGUUCGAUUUUUCGGCGCCGUCGAGGUCCUUGGUUGAGUCUUGGUCGUGAUUUCUCUGCUCGACAUUGUUUCAUUUUAGGAGGUUAGAAACAGAAUCCAAUUUUAGGUUAGUGUUGGAGUUUUUUGUGAGUUUUCCGGCGCUGUUGAGGUUCGGAAUCCCAUUUUGCAGAGUCGUCGUUUCCGUCGAGGUCGUUGACAGUCUCAUUGAGGUUUCCGUUCGAGAUUUGGUGGAGGAUUAGCCUUUGCUCCAGUUUUUCUUUUCGAUUUUUAGUUGUGUAUCAGGUAUUCUCUACCACUUUGGCAUAUGAAAUGGAAGAAGAUGAAGUUACUUGAAAUGAGUUGUCAUUUAUGUCGUAAUACUUAGUUAAAUGUGGUUGAGUAGGGAAUCUCCUAUAGUUGUUUUAAAUUCCAUGUUAACUUUUAGCCAUACACGCUGAAGAAAUAUUUGUGUGGUAAAAAAUUGAUUAAACAUCUGCUCUUUCUUGUUAAAAAUUCUAAAGUUGGUAAAAUUGUCAUGUGUUGAAAUCAGCUCAAUGAGAUGGAUAUGUGAUUCUGCUACUGUUUUUGAACAUGUUGUUGUUUCCUAUCAAAUUUUCUUCAGUUGCUUCAGUAAAACAGAAAUUCAAUUAAGAUUUGAUUUGUCUUUCUAUUCCUCAAGCUUAAUUCUAGAGAAAUUAGAUUAUUGUUCUAUUCUAAAAGGGGAAUACUGGCAGUUGCUGAAAUUGUAAACAUUACUUUCAAAUACUUCUUGUAGUGAAUUGGAUA